GGGAAACUUGCCUCGAGAUGAGUCUUCCCUGGGUACUUGAUACCCCUGAAGGGCCGUUGAAGACGACGACGUAGAUAGGCUGGGUGUGUAAGCGUAGCGAUACGUUGAGCUAACCAGUACUAAUGACCCGAGAGGCUUAACCUUACAACACCGAAGGUGUUU
RNAcentral lists this ribosomal RNA (162 nucleotides) under Pectobacterium brasiliense. RNAcentral's name for it is "Pectobacterium carotovorum subsp. brasiliense partial 23S ribosomal RNA". The stretch from base 1 to 144 matches the Rfam family "Bacterial large subunit ribosomal RNA", at positions 2787 to 2925 of the family's 2925-position model. Lineage: Bacteria; Pseudomonadati; Pseudomonadota; Gammaproteobacteria; Enterobacterales; Pectobacteriaceae. The record is from RNAcentral.